Molecule: ribosomal RNA, 253 nt
Filed under: uncultured bacterium
Lineage: Bacteria
Description: partial 16S ribosomal RNA
Rfam family: Bacterial small subunit ribosomal RNA
Source: RNAcentral
GACGGAGGAUGCAAGUGUUAUCCGGAAUCACUGGGCGUAAAGCGUCUGUCGGUGGCUUAAUAAGUCAACUGUUAAAUCUUGAAGCUCAACUUCAAAAUCGCAGUCGAAACUAUUAGACUAGAGUAUAGUAGAGGUAAAGGGAAUUUCCAGUGGAGCGGUGAAAUGCGUAGAGAUUGGAAAGAACACCGAUGGCGAAGGCACUUUACUGGGCUAUUACUGACACUCAGAGACGAAAGCUAGGGUAGCAAAUGGG